RNAcentral lists this non-coding RNA (26 nucleotides) under Mus musculus (house mouse). The record is from RNAcentral. Lineage: Eukaryota; Metazoa; Chordata; Mammalia; Rodentia; Muridae.
UGGUGACCUCUGAGGUGGUGAAGAUG